AAAAAAGAGAUUUUGCACAUAAAGAAAAUGAUGAAAAAAUAUUUGCUGUAAGGCAAGAAGAAAAUUGACUUGUUCUACACAAAGCAAUCAGCCAUGGAAAGAGGAUGGCAGAGGGAGUAAACUGCAGUUGACCAUGCUUGAAACAUCUCUGUGCCCUAUCCAUUGUGUGUGACAGCAGGAGUUCCCUGCCCAGAAAAUGGACUGCAUCUCUAGCACUGCAGAAAGAUUUAGGAAAAAAAAAUAGUGAUAUAUGGGC
This 256-nucleotide long non-coding RNA is filed under the name Anser brachyrhynchus (Pink-footed goose). Its description in RNAcentral is "lncRNA (ENSABRG00000016567.1)". The record is from RNAcentral. Lineage: Eukaryota; Metazoa; Chordata; Aves; Anseriformes; Anatidae.